RNAcentral lists this non-coding RNA (28 nucleotides) under Rattus norvegicus (Norway rat). Lineage: Eukaryota; Metazoa; Chordata; Mammalia; Rodentia; Muridae. The record is from RNAcentral.
UGCCUUGUGCCUGGCUGUCUGCCUCUCU